AAGAGAAAAAAAGAAAAGAAAGAGUGAAGACAGGGGUUGGUGGGUGUCCUUGAGCCCUCAGGAAUGAGAUGGCGGCUCUCUGGAAGCUGAGUGCCCUUUGCAGUGCCCAAGGAAGCCAAGCUCUGUUGCUGCAAACCCCAGUGUUCAGACCCGCUCAUAUCUCAGCAUUUCUUCAGGACCGACCUACCCCAGACUGGUGUGGAGUGCAGCACAUUCACUUAUCACUGAGCCACCAUUCUGGUUCCAAGACUGCAUCUCUCCACUGGACUAGUGAGAGGGUUGUCAGUGUUUUGCUCCUGAGUCGGCUUCUGGCUGCUUAUUUGAAUCCUUGCUCUGCGAUGGACUGGACUACUCCCUGGCUGCAACCCUCACUCUUCACGGUCGCUGGGGCUUUGAACAAGUUGUUACUAUGUUCAUGGGGACGUCUCGCAGAAAGCUGCCAGGCAGAGCUUUUGGCAAUUUCAGUUUUAAAUUUUGCUGGGCUUUGCUAUUUCAACCAUCACGAUGUGGACAUCUGCAAAACUGUUGCCAUGCUGUGGAAGCUCUGACCUUUCUGACUUAAUACUUUGAAGAAUUGAUGUAUGCUUCUUUUCCUCUGUGUUGUCAUGCCCUUCAACUCACAAUCAGGAAGAAAUAACAGAUGAGUCCAUUGGUGGACAGCCUUCUUCUCUGAAUCACAAGAUUAUUUUCAGAAUUUAAUCUUUAAGGAAAAGGUUUGAGAGGAAUUUUGUCUAAGAAGUUGUGAGACUGAGUUCUGUAUUCUGGUGAGUUAAUGGGGUUGACUCCCAGCUUCUCAAAAGACUCAUAGUAUAACAAAACAUGAUAUAUGAGCCUUUAAAUUUAUCAAUCUCUUAAAGAGAAUCCAGCUUUAUUACUAUUAAUAUAUGAUCAAACUUCUUUAUUUGCCCUGGGAGUAGUGGACAAAGGGAAAUACUGUUAAUUCAUGAAUAAAAACUUUGCAGAAACUUAGAUAGUGUUUAAUUUUUUUAAACUUCCUUCUCUAUUCAGUAGAUACCACCUACUGAUGGUUGCAUAUACUAGGGAAAUUUUAAAAUUAGGAAAUGCUGACAUCUCACAUUAUCAAUUUCUAAAUCUUAGGAAAAAUAGCUUGGAGUGCUUCUGAAUAUAGAGAGGUUCCAUUUAAGGGCAAGGUUCACCUUGUAGAUGUAUCAAACUAUUACAAAGUAUAAACUGAGACAAUCCUCAAAUUUGUUCUACUUGUUCUAAAACAAU
Molecule: RNA transcript, 1233 nt
Organism: Rhinopithecus roxellana (golden snub-nosed monkey)
Lineage: Eukaryota; Metazoa; Chordata; Mammalia; Primates; Cercopithecidae
Gene name: succinate dehydrogenase [ubiquinone] cytochrome b small subunit, mitochondrial pseudogene
Exons: 1
Source: RefSeq, a predicted model, not a curated record